This 468-nucleotide ribosomal RNA is filed under the name uncultured bacterium. RNAcentral describes it as "partial 16S ribosomal RNA". It matches the Rfam family "Bacterial small subunit ribosomal RNA", at positions 28 to 507 of the family's 1533-position model. The record is from RNAcentral.
GACGAACGCUGGCGGCGUGCUUAACACAUGCAAGUCGAACGGAAAGGCCCUUCUUUUGUGGGGUGCUCGAGUGGCGAACGGGUGAGUAACACGUUAGUAACCUGCCCUUGACUUUGGGAUAACUUCAGGAAACUGGGGCUAAUACCGGAUAGGAGCUCCUGCUGCAUGGUGGGGGUUGGAAAGUUUCGGUGGUUGGGGAUGGACUCGCGGCUUAUCAGCUUGUUGGUGGGGUAGUGGCUUACCAAGGCUUUGACGGGUAGCCGGCCUGAGAGGGUGAACGGGCACAUUGGGACUGAGAUACGGCCCAGACGCCUACGGGAGGAAGAAGUGGGGAAUAUUGCACAAUGGGCGGAAGCCUGAUGCAGCAACGCCGCGUGCGGGAUGACGGCCUUCGGGUUGUAAACCGCUUUCGCCUGUGACGAAGCGUGAGUGACGGUAAUGGGUAAAGAAGCACCGGCUAACUACGUG